UAGGUUUGAUCCUGGCUCAGGACGAACGCUGGCGGCGCGCCUAACACAUGCAAGUCGAACGGAGCUGAGAGGAGCUUGCUUUUCUUAGCUUAGUGGCGAACGGGUGAGUAACGCGUGAGUAACCUGCCCUGGAGUGGGGGACAACAGUUGGAAACGACUGCUAAUACCGCAUAAGCCCACGGUGCCGCAUGGCACUGCGGGAAAAGGAUUUAUUCGCUUCAGGAUGGACUCGCGUCCAAUUAGCUAGUUGGUGAGGUAACGGCCCACCAAGGCGACGAUUGGUAGCCGGACUGAGAGGUUGAACGGCCACAUUGGGACUGAGACACGGCCCAGACUCCUACGGGAGGCAGCAGUGGGGGAUAUUGCACAAUGGGGGAAACCCUGAUGCAGCGACGCCGCGUGGAGGAAGAAAGUUUUCGGAUUGUAAACUCCUGUCGUUAGGGACGAUAAUGACGGUACCUAACAAGAAAGCACCGGCUAACUACGUGCCAGCAGCCGCGGUAAAACGUAGGGUGCAAGCGUUGUCCGGAAUUACUGGGUGUAAAGGGAGCGCAGGCGGACCGGCAAGUUGGAAGUGAAAUCCAUGGGCUCAACCCGUGAAUUGCUUUCAAAACUGCUGGCCUUGAGUAGUGCAGAGGUAGGUGGAAUUCCCGGUGUAGCGGUGGAAUGCGUAGAUAUCGGGAGGAACACCAGUGGCGAAGGCGACCUACUGGGCACCAACUGACGCUGAGGCUCGAAAGCAUGGGUAGCAAACAGGAUUAGAUACCCUGGUAGUCCAUGCCGUAAACGAUGAUUACUAGGUGUUGGAGGAUUGACCCCUUCAGUGCCGCAGUUAACACAAUAAGUAAUC
RNAcentral lists this ribosomal RNA (850 nucleotides) under uncultured Bacillota bacterium. Its description in RNAcentral is "bacterial SSU rRNA". It matches the Rfam family "Bacterial small subunit ribosomal RNA", at positions 1 to 869 of the family's 1533-position model. Lineage: Bacteria; Bacillati; Bacillota. The record is from RNAcentral.